AUUGAACGCUGGCGGCAGGCUUAACACAUGCAAGUCGAGCGGGGUGAUGGUGCUUGCACUAUCACUUAGCGGCGGACGGGUGAGUAAUGCUUAGGAAUCUGCCUAUUAGUGGGGGACAACAUCUCGAAAGGGAUGCUAAUACCGCAUACGUCCUUCGGGAGAAAGCAGGGGAUCACUUGUGACCUUGCGCUAAUAGAUGAGCCUAAGUCGGAUUAGCUAGUUGGUGGGGUAAAGGCCUACCAAGGCGACGAUCUGUAGCGGGUCUGAGAGGAUGAUCCGCCACACUGGGACUGAGACACGGCCCAGACUCCUACGGGAGGCGGCAGUGGGGAAUAUUGGACAAUGGGGGGAACCCUGAUCCAGCCAUGCCGCGUGUGUGAAGAAGGCCUUAUGGUUGUAAAGCACUUUAAGCGAGGAGGAGGCUCUUUUGGUUAAUACCCAAGAUGAGUGGACGUUACUCGCAGAAUUAGCACCGGCUAACUCUGUGCCAGCCGCCGCGGUAA
This 503-nucleotide ribosomal RNA is filed under the name uncultured bacterium. RNAcentral's name for it is "partial 16S ribosomal RNA". It matches the Rfam family "Bacterial small subunit ribosomal RNA", at positions 30 to 523 of the family's 1533-position model. The record is from RNAcentral.